This 204-nucleotide unclassified non-coding RNA is filed under the name Hevea brasiliensis (rubber tree). The record is from RNAcentral. Lineage: Eukaryota; Viridiplantae; Streptophyta; Magnoliopsida; Malpighiales; Euphorbiaceae.
GUGAAGCGAAUUGGUUUCAUUGGCCUUGGUGCUAUGGGAUUUGGCAUGGCAACUCAUCUGCUGAAAUCAAAUUUCUGCGUCCUUGGUUAUGAUGUAUAUCCACCAUCACUAUCUCGAUUUGCAGAUGCAGGUGGCUUGACUGGGAGUACUCCUGCAGAAGUAUCUCAGGAUGUAGAUGUACUUGUAGUAAUGGUCACAAACGAA